RNAcentral lists this ribosomal RNA (209 nucleotides) under Lepisosteus osseus (longnose gar). RNAcentral's name for it is "partial small subunit ribosomal RNA". The record is from RNAcentral. Lineage: Eukaryota; Metazoa; Chordata; Actinopteri; Semionotiformes; Lepisosteidae.
CCCACCGCGGUUAUACGAGAGGCUCCAACUGAUAGCCCACGGCGUAAAGCGUGAUUAUAGGAUGCUGCCCCAACUAAAGUCAAAAUCUCCCUAAGCCGUCAUACGCACUUGGGAGCAUGAAGCCCCUCCACGAAGGUAACUUUAUAAUUCACAGCCACCCUGAACUCACGAUAGCUAAGACACAAACUGGGAUUAGAUACCCCACUAUG